GCUUCGAGUUUCUGAUUCAUCGCGAGCUUGUCGACUGCUAGUGCGCCAAGAUCGAGACUGAUCGAAUAGGUGGUGUCGGCUUUCGUCAGCGCAUUCUUCAAAGGCAUCGCAAGCGUGACGAUCGCGGACACCGUGCCCUUGCUCGAAUUGGGAUCGAUCACCGUGUCGCCCGCUUCGCGCAGCCGUUCCGAUUGCAGGACUUCGGCGGCCGCAGGAACCGGGCCAUCGAUCCGGAAGCGCACUUUGGUGGGCGCGGGCUUCGGUGCGAGAUCCGGCACUUCAAACGUCAGAUCGGAAAUGCCAAGUCGUCGGCCGGCCGGGGUAUCGACCGCUCCCUGCCCCACGUUGAUGUUGACGGUCCGCCCGCUCACACGCCCCUUCAUGUCGGCAUCGCGAACCAGAGGCAUGUCAUCGACGGGCC
Molecule: unclassified non-coding RNA, 421 nt
Filed under: Hevea brasiliensis (rubber tree)
Lineage: Eukaryota; Viridiplantae; Streptophyta; Magnoliopsida; Malpighiales; Euphorbiaceae
Source: RNAcentral